Molecule: long non-coding RNA, 912 nt
Organism: Acipenser ruthenus (sterlet)
Lineage: Eukaryota; Metazoa; Chordata; Actinopteri; Acipenseriformes; Acipenseridae
Exons: 3
Source: RefSeq, a predicted model, not a curated record
ACAGCCUCGUCCCUCCCAGCCACAAAUCGGUGUUCAAUUUUGGGAAUAUCUUGGUAGGUUUGACCAAUCAUAGCCCGUGUCGCUCCCAAGAAUUGACCAGGAAAGAGCCAAUCAGAUUUCGCAGAACUACCAAGAAUCAAGUGACGGAAUUAUCCAAUCAGAUCUCGUAGAACUACCAAGAAUACUGAGCGUUUUCAACGACGAGAGAUUAUUGAAUCUUGAAGUCUUUUGGUUUAUUUCGAAAUACAAUCAUCUGAAGAUUAUCCUGUGUAUCAUUCAUCGGGUCAAAAUUUGAUACAUCAUAGCCCGUGUCGCUACCAAGAAUUGAUCAGGAAAGAGCCAAUCAGAUUUCGCAGAACUACCAAGAAUCAAGUGACGGAAUUAUCCAAUCAGAUCUCGUAGAACUACCAAGAAUACUGAGCAUUUUCAACGACAAGAGAUUAUUGAAUCUUGAAGUCUUUUGGUUUAUUUCGAAAUACACUCAUCUGAAGGCAUGCGAAGGCACAGGACCAAUACCUUCCCAGCUGUUAAACCUUCCAUCCUUGCAUCCUUCCCAUCUUCCUGCUGUGUAUGGGGGACCUUUGGCGUAUGAGGCGAACGUGAUAACCACUACACUACGGAAACAUUUCAUGAACUGCUGCAACCGCUUAUCAAAUACAAUGAACUUCAAAUACAUACAAAUAAUGCACUAUAAUGCAGUUAUGCGAUAUAUGCAAUAUGAUCUAAGAAGUAUAAAAUAUAUAUAUAUAUUUGUAACGGAUUGUUAUUUUUAAUAAAUUAAAAAAAAAAUGUUUCCACCCAGUCUCGAACCGGGGACCUUUCACGUGUUAGGCGAACGUGAAAACCACUACACUACGGAAACACAUCUUGUUACACGCUCCACUAUUCAUACAGUAGCUUACUAACAUAUAU